Molecule: small RNA, 127 nt
Filed under: Marmota monax (woodchuck)
Lineage: Eukaryota; Metazoa; Chordata; Mammalia; Rodentia; Sciuridae
Source: RNAcentral
GCUGGGCAUGGUGGUGCAUGCCUGUAAUCCCAGCAGUUUAGGAGGUUGACACAGGAAGAUCACAAGUUCCAGGACAGCCUCAUCAACUUAGUGAGGCCCUAGGCAAUUUAGCAAGACCCUGUCUCAA